CUCAUCAGCUUUUAGUAGGAGAUCAUAUUCAGAGUGCAGAACUUCCCAAGAGUCUAACUGGACCUGAUGGAAACAGUGGUCAGCAGCAGUUGGUGUGCUGUUAGACAGAGUGACCCACCAUGGAGUCUGACAGGCACGCUGACCAGCAGGGGAAGCCACAGCCCACCUCAGCCCCUCCCAGCAGCCUCCUGGAGAUCCACCCUCCCACACUGAUCAAUAAAACUCCCACUACUGAUCCUGGAGUGUGGAGCUGGGAGGCGUGCAGGAACGCUGCUGUGGGUUUUCUCACUGGCCAUGUUCCUGCUGCACCAUUACUCUCUGUACACUGUGAUAAAGAGCCCAGGAGAAUCAGCUGGAGCUUUAUUCCCCACUGCACUUAUUACACUGUUUACACUCCCAUUACUUCCCUCAGAAGAACCUCACUACAUGGUCUUCUACAGGACCAUCACAUCAUGAUCCAUUUCAGACUCCAUAGGUCUGUUAAUCAGCAACAUUAGACUCUGAACUGAGUCUCUUUUACACCAGCUUAGGAUACUAAACCACACAGCACUGUGACUCUGAUACACUGACAGUUAGAUCAGGAUAGCUGACUCACAUCCUGGAGGCAGAGGCACUAAAGUAAGAGGUGAAUCCAGACUAGUGAUCUCUUGCAGUUCAUCAUGCUGGUUUUCUUCUGAGGUCAGUGAAAGCAACUGUCAUGAUAGACAAGUUUGGUAUAAAUAAUAGUUCCAGUCAACAAGACAGAGGAAGGUUUAGAUGCUUUAUUUGAUUCAAGGUUAUGCUGACACCAAGAUUACCUCUAGUUUCACCAAAGAAUUCUGUGAGGCUUCAUCCUCUUGGGCAGUAUUUUUAACCUAGUUCCCUGAUAGUGCAUAUUUCUCUCACCUGGAGAAUGGCAUUAAAUCUCAGAAAACCUGGUUCAAAACUGUAAUUAACACUGAAAUUUGUCUGGUGUCUAAGAGUCCAAAAGGCAUAACUUUAAACCAAUAAAUGCCAUAUGAUAUAAA
Molecule: long non-coding RNA, 1007 nt
Organism: Pygocentrus nattereri (red-bellied piranha)
Lineage: Eukaryota; Metazoa; Chordata; Actinopteri; Characiformes; Serrasalmidae
Exons: 2
Source: RefSeq, a predicted model, not a curated record